CCCAGCACGUCAUCGAGCGCCCCUAAACGGCGCAACUCCGGCUGCACCAUGUCUUCGAGAUCCUCCAUCAGCUGCUCCUCCUCCCUCCAGCAUGCCGCCCUGUCCCACCAUGGCUGCUCGCAGGAGGUGCUCCAGCAGGCAUCCACCGGCAAGAUAGGCAGGAAAACUACUAUCGUGUGUGGCUGCGGCAGGUUCUUCUCGCCAUUGCCUGAGAGAAGCAUCGCUGGUUGGGAGAGUUCGAAGGUCAGAGUAUGAAGUUCGACAUGGAAAAUUGUUGUAGAUUGCAUUACUUGAGGAUUUUCCAUGUGUUCUGCAUUUUAGGUAGCGGAGAAUCAGUAAGUUCUACUACUGGUGCACGCCAAGUUCAAGGAUUUUGCCAUGCUUGAGCAUCCACUGGCUCCGACCUCCAACCACUGUCAUGCGCCUGGGAUCCGCAAUCUCCGACCUCGCAUGGACCUCGUCUAGUUUCUCUAUCCCGAGUGCCGCCGCCGGCUUCCCUGCAGUAUGGCUUCGGUUCCCUCUCCGGAUGCGUCUGCGCCAACCAUCUCUAUGAGCCUAUUCCUUCGCUGGACUACUCCUUCCACCAGCAGCCCCCCUAGCAAACCUCAUGUCUCAUAUUUGUUCUUAUUUUCUUGCAGGAUGCAUCAAAAAGCCAGAUUCACAAAUUCAUCUUCUAUAUGCUUUUCAGUUCAUCAACUUCCCAUUGGUAAGUCCAAUUUAUUUAGGGUUUCAAUCUUCUUCCUAUAGCACUUGUGCUUGAUAAUGAUGUUGUACACAAAAUGGCUUAUGAGAUAUCUGGAUAAUGUGUAUACUAAUGAUUUUUGGUUAAUAUUUUGUAUGAUUCAUUUGGCAAAGAAGAUUCUUCUUCUUUGUAGAGCUUUAUACAACACUUCUGUCAUCAUAGCCUUUUCACGUCUGUACAUCUACAUGAAAAGGUUCGCCUACAAACUAGGGUUCACUUGGGUUAAAAAAGUAUAUUUUACACACACACAAUGCUUGAAUUUCGAUUACUAAUGCUUAGUAAGUACACUCUGUUUUGGGGAGUGCACAUCUUGCUUAGAAAACAUGGGCAAGUUCAUGAAGAGAAAAAAAUUAUACGUUCAAAAUCUAGGAAAGCGGUAAUCCAUAGGCCCAUGCUGCAGUGCUGAUGCAUACAUGCCUGCUUCUACCUGCAGUUUUACUAGUUGUUUGUUGAACAUUCCACUGUGUGUUUUUAGAUGAUAAGUGCCAGUGCCAUGGUUGAUGGUGGUAUACAUAAAAACAAUGAAUUGUUGCAGUGUAACUGAACUAGAGCAUCGUAGGCUAAUUAAUUGUAGUUUCUUGUUGUUGUGUGCACCAUGUUUGUAAGAAUGUUGUUGCUAGAUGGCCACAAAAAAUAGAGCUUAAUUAGUCUCUGCAAUACGAUGGUUGGCUGGAGAAUUCUUUUUUCGUGUCUAGAGAAAGAUAUAUCUAUACUAUGUGUAUCAGUUCAUGAUAUAAUUUUUCAUCAGUUCAUAAUUCUGUCUUCUUAUGAUAGAAAAAUAUACUAGUUUGGAUCUUCAUUAGUUUCAGCCACCCCGCAACCCAGCCAGCGACUCCGUCAUCUCCCCGUACCGGAUCGAGCUCCAGAUCAAUGCCCCCAUCUACACUUAUGGCAUUCAUGCUUGGCGUUUUGGCGUUGUCUGUGUGUGGUCUUGCGGGCGUCUCACCUCAAACGCAUCCCAGGAUGAUGCACGAGUUGCUGAGGAAACGCACAAGCCCGUGGCCUCUCGACCACAACUUCGUCUCAUGGAAGCUGUUUGAUGUGGACAGCCAGUACGAAUUCAAGUCUAAGUGGCUCAUCGAGGAGAAAAAGAAGAGGAACUCGAGUGGUUUCUCUAUGGAGAAGGGCAGAAGACAUUUUUCUCUGAACAUACUUGUUGAUAUGCCCAUGAGAACAGGUACAUUUUUCGACAGAUUUUUGUGUUGCUGACGAGGGCUACACAACUUGUAUUUACAUGUUGAACUUAAGCGUAUCCUCUAUAAAGUUCGUGGAUGUGUGGAUGUUAUUUUGACAUUGAACUGUUAUG
Long non-coding RNA from Triticum dicoccoides, 2048 nucleotides. RefSeq lists it as uncharacterized. The record is from RefSeq and is a predicted model, not a curated record. The transcript has 4 exons. Lineage: Eukaryota; Viridiplantae; Streptophyta; Magnoliopsida; Poales; Poaceae.